UGAGGAAUAUUGGUCAAUGGGCGCGAGCCUGAACCAGCCAAGUAGCGUGAAGGAUGAAGGCUCUAUGGGUCGUAAACUUCUUUUAUAUGGGAAUAAAGUGCAGUAUGUAUACUGUUUUGUAUGUACCAUAUGAAUAAGGAUCGGCUAACUCCGUGCCAGCAGCCGCGGUAAUACGGAGGAUCCAAGCGUUAUCCGGAUUUAUUGGGUUUAAAGGGAGCGUAGGCGGAUUGUUAAGUCAGUUGUGAAAGUUUGCGGCUCAACCGUAAAAUUGCAGUUGAUACUGGCAGUCUUGAGUACAGUAGAGGUAAGCGGAAUUCGUGGUGUAGCGGUGAAAUGCUUAGAUAUCACGAAGAACUCCAAUUGCGAAGGCAGCUUGCUGGACUGUCACUGACGCUGAUGCUCGAAAGUGUGGGUAUCAAACA
RNAcentral lists this ribosomal RNA (422 nucleotides) under uncultured Bacteroides sp. RNAcentral's name for it is "partial 16S ribosomal RNA". It matches the Rfam family "Bacterial small subunit ribosomal RNA", at positions 355 to 774 of the family's 1533-position model. Lineage: Bacteria; Pseudomonadati; Bacteroidota; Bacteroidia; Bacteroidales; Bacteroidaceae. The record is from RNAcentral.